RNAcentral lists this ribosomal RNA (268 nucleotides) under uncultured bacterium. Its description in RNAcentral is "partial 16S ribosomal RNA". It matches the Rfam family "Bacterial small subunit ribosomal RNA", at positions 333 to 621 of the family's 1533-position model. The record is from RNAcentral.
CAACCUACGGGGGCAGCAGUGGGGAAUAUUGCACAAUGGGGGAAACCCUGAUGCAGCGACGCCGCGUGAGUGAAGAAGUAAUUCGUUAUGUAAAGCUCUAUCAGCAGGGAAGAAAAUGACGGUACCUGAGUAAGAAGCCCGGGCUAACUACGUGCCAGCAGCCGCGGUAAUACGUAGGGGGCAAGCGUUAUCCGGAUUUACUGGGUGUAAAGGGAGCGUAGACGGUCCUGCAAGCCAGAUGUGAAAGCCCGGGGCUCAACCCCGGGAC